GAUCAUAGUUAAAUCAGUUACCAUCGAUGAAUAUACACUCUAGAAACGGUUGGGUCAUUUUGUUGGGUUAUUUUAUUUCUUUUUAAACACUUUUGGGUAGUUUCAAAUUUACCACGUGUUGGGUUAAACCUGCUGGGUUGCGUCGCUGGGUUGUUUCAGGUCAGCGCUUGGGUUAUUUAACGCGCCUUGAAGAUCGCUCCCCAACUGUCAUUUUGGAAGAACAACGGGGCAAAGCCACGGCUUUCAACGGUUUUAAGAAAAGCACAUGGAUACACUUGUGAGAGAAAAACUCUUCGAGUGCAGUCUUAUUGAGGCAUCUAACGGUUGGAACAAACAUGGAAUUCUUUAACUGAGCAGAGUACACAAAACCCCAAUCAACUGUCGUGGCGAUUUAAAAAUGCC
Long non-coding RNA from Carassius gibelio (silver crucian carp), 402 nucleotides. RefSeq lists it as uncharacterized. The transcript is spliced from 3 exons. The record is from RefSeq and is a predicted model, not a curated record. NCBI's taxonomy places the organism in Eukaryota, Metazoa, Chordata, Actinopteri, Cypriniformes, Cyprinidae.